This is a non-coding RNA of Durio zibethinus, 893 nucleotides long. NCBI's taxonomy places the organism in Eukaryota, Viridiplantae, Streptophyta, Magnoliopsida, Malvales, Malvaceae. The record is from RefSeq and is a predicted model, not a curated record.
CCUAAAAAUUCAAAAAUAGCACCUUAGAAGAUGGAAAACUAUCCCAUAGGCGAUGGCGCUCUUCUCGGUGUUUGGAGAAAGACUUGAUCACAUGGAACAUCCUGAAAAAAAGGCCUAGUUCUCAAAUCUAAACUUAACUUUUACGUCUGAUUCCCGAGAAAAUAAAAACCAGAAAGUCGUAAUUUUGUGUGUUCUUAUGUUUGUUCACAGGGGGAGAAAAAGCUUCGAGAAAACAAUCUCUGGUUUUGGAAUCGAAGCUGGCUCAUUUUUCAUCCUUGUAACAAAAAUCCUUGUUUCUUGAUCAAAAGAUCGCGUUGCAAACCAUUUAUAAUCUCUGCUCUCGGAUCUGAAAUUGAAAACCUGGACGCCAAAUAUAAUUCCAGUUGUCGACAAUUGAAGGUUUUGAAAAGUGAGGUUGAGGAACCUGAAUAGGUGGAAAAGGAGAAGGAUAAGUUUUACAAAUUGAAAAGUUCAGAAAUCAAUGAGUGUAGGGAAAAUGUGGAGAUGUUUUUGAUGGAAUCUGGAAUUCAAGUGCAAGAAUUGAGGAGCUGUGAAAAAGAGGCAACAAUGGAUAUACGAGUAAUUCUGAGAUAGCUGAGGCAGAGAUGAAAACGGCUUAACUGUUGGCUAUGAAAGAUUGGGCUUCAAAUUACCAAAGAAGAGCAGAGUUGCAAAAGCAGGUUGAGAUUGCUCAAAAUCAAGAGAGAUGGAAACCAUUUCACUUUGGAAAAUACGAAGGUCUCAGGUAACCAAGACUGCAAACAUGAUAACAGGUUCCUGAAGCUUGUAUAGAAGCUGAGCAACGUUGUCGUUUGUCAAUCAAACUGUUACCAUAAUCACACUGGGUUUUGGACUUUCUUAUAAUAGAUUUGAGUUCUUUGUUUAAAUUCAAA